This 253-nucleotide ribosomal RNA is filed under the name uncultured bacterium. RNAcentral's name for it is "partial 16S ribosomal RNA". It matches the Rfam family "Bacterial small subunit ribosomal RNA", at positions 524 to 776 of the family's 1533-position model. The record is from RNAcentral.
GACAGAGGGUGCAAACGUUGUUCGGAAUUACUGGGCGUAAAGCGCGUGUAGGUGGCGAGGCAAGUCGGGUGUGAAAGCCCUGGGCUCAACCCAGGAAGUGCACUCGAUACUGCCUAGCUAGAGUCCCGGAGAGGUUAGUGGAACUCUCGGUGUAGAGGUGAAAUUCGUAGAUAUCGAGAAGAACACCGGUGGCGAAGGCGGCCAACUGGACGGUGACUGACGCUGAGACGCGAAAGCGUGGGGAGCAAACAGG